CAGUAGCCGCGGGAACACGUAGGGUGCGAGCGUUAAUCGGAAUUACUGGGCGUAAAGCGUGCGCAGGCGGUUUUGCAAGACAGGCGUGAAAUCCCCGGGCUCAACCUGGGAAUGGCGCUUGUGACUGCAAAGCUAGAGUGCGGCAGAGGGGGAUGGAAUUCCGCGUGUAGCAGUGAAAUGCGUAGAUAUGCGGAGGAACACCGAUGGCGAAGGCAAUCCCCUGAGCCUGCACUGACGCUCAUGCACGAAAGCGUGGGGAGCAAACAGGAUUAGAUACCCCUGUAGUCCCUGUCUCUUAUAA
RNAcentral lists this ribosomal RNA (301 nucleotides) under uncultured bacterium. RNAcentral's name for it is "partial 16S ribosomal RNA". It matches the Rfam family "Bacterial small subunit ribosomal RNA", at positions 509 to 809 of the family's 1533-position model. The record is from RNAcentral.